UUGCUAUCUUUGUAUGCCCAGAUUUUCCAUGGUUAAUGUUUUGUUGUUGUUGGUUAAUACUGCAUGAUAAUUGAUGUUGCAUGGCCAUGUUUGUUUCUUGAUGUUGCAUCGUGUUGUUUGAGGUUUGUCCAUGAACCAUGAAGUUUGAAGUUGCCAAACCAUGCUUAAACCUUAGGGUUUUAGAAACUCAGAAAAUAUGAGGUUCCAUUGGCGCAUGUACUGUUCUAUUGGCUGGGAGCCAAUCAGAACAUUUCGUUUUGCCUUGCCAAAACGCAGAGUUUAGAUUAGUGAGUCCAAAA
RNAcentral lists this long non-coding RNA (299 nucleotides) under Lathyrus oleraceus (garden pea). Its description in RNAcentral is "Pisum sativum (pea) long non-coding RNA (PSAT_LNC020116)". The record is from RNAcentral. Lineage: Eukaryota; Viridiplantae; Streptophyta; Magnoliopsida; Fabales; Fabaceae.